RNAcentral lists this ribosomal RNA (379 nucleotides) under Bacillus sp. mrc49. RNAcentral describes it as "bacterial SSU rRNA". It matches the Rfam family "Bacterial small subunit ribosomal RNA", at positions 1 to 373 of the family's 1533-position model. Lineage: Bacteria; Bacillati; Bacillota; Bacilli; Caryophanales; Bacillaceae. The record is from RNAcentral.
UCGGAGAGUUUGAUCCUGGCUCAGGACGAACGCUGGCGGCGUGCCUAAUACAUGCAAGUCGAGCGAAUCGACGGGAGCUUGCUCCCUAAGAUUAGCGGCGGACGGGUGAGUAACACGUGGGCAACCUGCCUAUAAGACUGGGAUAACUUCGGGAAACCGGAGCUAAUACCGGAUACGUUCUUUUCUCGCAUGAGAGAAGAUGGAAAGACGGUUUACGCUGUCACUUAUAGAUGGGCCCGCGGCGCAUUAGCUAGUUGGUGAGGUAAUGGCUCACCAAGGCGACGAUGCGUAGCCGACCUGAGAGGGUGAUCGGCCACACUGGGACUGAGACACGGCCCAGACUCCUACGGGAGGCAGCAGUAGGGAAUCUUCCGCAAUG